This 622-nucleotide ribosomal RNA is filed under the name uncultured archaeon. Its description in RNAcentral is "bacterial SSU rRNA". It matches the Rfam family "Archaeal small subunit ribosomal RNA", at positions 147 to 774 of the family's 1478-position model. The record is from RNAcentral.
UAAUACUCCAUAGAUUAGAGACACUGGAAUGUUCUUUAGUCGAAAGUUCUGGCGCCUUAGGAUGGAUCUGCGGUCGAUUAGGUUGUUGUUGGGGUAACGGCCCAACAAGCCUGUAAUCGAUACGGGUUGUGGGAGCAAGAGCCCGGAGAUGGAAUCUGAGACACGAUUCCAGGCCCUACGGGGCGCAGCAGGCGCGAAAACUUUACAAUGCAGGAAACUGUGAUAAGGGAACUCCGAGUGCCCGUAUACGCGGGCUGUCCAGGUGUUUAAAAAUCAUCUGAAGAAAGGGCCGGGCAAGACCGGUGCCAGCCGCCGCGGUAAUACCGGCGGCUCGAGUGGUGGCCACUAUUAUUGGGCUUAAAGCGUCCGUAGCUGGACCGAUAAGUCUCUUGGGAAAUCCGCCGGCUCAACCGGCGGGCGUCUAAGGGAUACUGUUAGUCUAGGGACCGGGAGAGGUGAGAGGUACUCCGGGGGUAGGAGUGAAAUCCUGUAAUCCCCGGGGGACCACCGAUGGCGAAGGCAUCUCACCAAAACGGCUCCGACAGUGAGGGACGAAAGCUGGGGGAGCGAACCGGAUUAGAUACCCGGGUAGUCCCAGCCGUAAACUAUGCGCGUUAGGUGU